AGUAAUGUCUGACAGAGACUGUGGUAGAAACUAUUCAGUCUGACUCUUCUCAGAGUGAACACUUGUACAAUGGAUCUUCGCUCAGUUAUUCUGUUCUGUGUCUCAACCGGCGCUGUCUUUGGAAAUGUCAUCAAACCAAACAAAACCAAUGUUUUUGCUGAGGAGGGUUCAAGUGUUACAUUGUCUUGUAGUUUUACUGACUCUAGCACUACAGAUUAUCUCCACUGGUACCGUCAGUAUGGAAGAUCAAAACCUGAAUUUCUUGUACUCACCUACGACACUGAAAAAGAAGCUAAGGUGUCUGAUGCAGAUCCAAGAUUCACUGUUAAUGUGACAAAAAGGGAGCAUGUGGAUCUGGAGAUCUCUUCUGCUGCUGUAUCAGACUCUGCUCUGUACUACUGUGCUCUGGUGCCCACAGUGACAGGAAACACAUCAGCUCUCUACAAAAACCUGUUACAAUAA
Molecule: non-coding RNA, 462 nt
Organism: Onychostoma macrolepis
Lineage: Eukaryota; Metazoa; Chordata; Actinopteri; Cypriniformes; Cyprinidae
Source: the annotation of a RefSeq genome assembly